CCUACGGGUGGCAGCAGUGGGGAAUAUUGCGCAAUGGGCGAAAGCCUGACGCAGCGACGCCGCGUGAGGGAUGAAGGUCUUCGGAUCGUAAACCUCUGUCAGCAGGGAAGAACAGUCACUGUGCUAAUCAGCAGUGAAUUGACGGUACCUGCAAAGGAAGCACCGGCUAACUCCGUGCCAGCAGCCGCGGUAAUACGGAGGGUGCGAGCGUUAAUCGGUAUUAUUGGGCGUAAAGCGCUCGUAGGCGGUUUGUCAAGUCAAGUGUGAAAUCCCCGCGCUCAACGUGGGAACUGCCUUUGAAACUGGCAAACUGGAGUGUGGGAGAGGAUAGUGGAAGUCGUGGUGUAGGGGUGAAAUCCGUAGAUAUCUGGAGGAACAUCAGUGGCGAAGGCGACUAUCUGGCACAUAACUGACGCUGAGGAGCGAAAGCGUGGGUAGCAAACAGGAUUAGAUACCCUUGUAGUC
This 465-nucleotide ribosomal RNA is filed under the name uncultured bacterium. RNAcentral describes it as "partial 16S ribosomal RNA". It matches the Rfam family "Bacterial small subunit ribosomal RNA", at positions 338 to 795 of the family's 1533-position model. The record is from RNAcentral.